GGGUUGUGAGGUUAAGCGACUAAGCGUACACGGUGGAUGCCCUGGCAGUCAGAGGCGAUGAAGGACGUGCUAAUCUGCGAUAAGCGUCGGUGAGGUGAUAUGAACCGUUAUAACCGGCGAUUUCCGAAUGGGGAAACCCAGUGUGUUUCGACACACUAUCAUUAACUGAAUCCAUAGGUUAAUGAGGCGAACCGGGGGAACUGAAACAUCUAAGUACCCCGAGGAAAAGAAAUCAACCGAGAUUCCCCCAGUAGCGGCGAGCGAACGGGGAGGAGCCCAGAGCCUGAAUCAGUGUGUGUGUUAGUGGAAGCGUCUGGAAAGGCGCGCGAUACAGGGUGACAGCCCCGUACACAAAAAUGCACAUAUUGUGAGCUCGAUGAGUAGGGCGGGACACGUGGUAUCCUGUCUGAAUAUGGGGGGACCAUCCUCCAAGGCUAAAUACUCCUGACUGACCGAUAGUGAACCAGUACCGUGAGGGAAAGGCGAAAAGAACCCCGGCGAGGGGAGUGAAAAAGAACCUGAAACCGUGUACGUACAAGCAGUGGGAGCCUCUUAAUGGGGUGACUGCGUACCUUUUGUAUAAUGGGUCAGCGACUUAUAUUCUGUAGCAAGGUUAACCGAAUAGGGGAGCCGAAGGGAAACCGAGUCUUAACUGGGCGUUAAGUUGCAGGGUAUAGACCCGAAACCCGGUGAUCUAGCCAUGGGCAGGUUGAAGGUUGGGUAACACUAACUGGAGGACCGAACCGACUAAUGUUGAAAAAUUAGCGGAUGACUUGUGGCUGGGGGUGAAAGGCCAAUCAAACCGGGAGAUAGCUGGUUCUCCCCGAAAGCUAUUUAGGUAGCGCCUCGUGAAUUCAUCUCCGGGGGUAGAGCACUGUUUCGGCAAGGGGGUCAUCCCGACUUACCAACCCGAUGCAAACUGCGAAUACCGGAGAAUGUUAUCACGGGAGACACACGGCGGGUGCUAACGUCCGUCGUGAAGAGGGAAACAACCCAGACCGCCAGCUAAGGUCCCAAAGUCAUGGUUAAGUGGGAAACGAUGUGGGAAGGCCCAGACAGCCAGGAUGUUGGCUUAGAAGCAGCCAUCAUUUAAAGAAAGCGUAAUAGCUCACUGGUCGAGUCGGCCUGCGCGGAAGAUGUAACGGGGCUAAACCAUGCACCGAAGCUGCGGCAGCGACACUAUGUGUUGUUGGGUAGGGGAGCGUUCUGUAAGCCUGUGAAGGUGGCCUGUGAGGGUUGCUGGAGGUAUCAGAAGUGCGAAUGCUGACAUAAGUAACGAUAAAGCGGGUGAAAAGCCCGCUCGCCGGAAGACCAAGGGUUCCUGUCCAACGUUAAUCGGGGCAGGGUGAGUCGACCCCUAAGGCGAGGCCGAAAGGCGUAGUCGAUGGGAAACAGGUUAAUAUUCCUGUACUUGGUGUUACUGCGAAGGGGGGACGGAGAAGGCUAUGUUGGCCGGGCGACGGUUGUCCCGGUUUAAGCGUGUAGGCUGGUUUUCCAGGCAA
RNAcentral lists this ribosomal RNA (1502 nucleotides) under Escherichia coli. RNAcentral describes it as "partial 23S ribosomal RNA". It matches the Rfam family "Bacterial large subunit ribosomal RNA", at positions 1 to 1539 of the family's 2925-position model. Lineage: Bacteria; Pseudomonadati; Pseudomonadota; Gammaproteobacteria; Enterobacterales; Enterobacteriaceae. The record is from RNAcentral.